CCUACGGGUGACAGCAGUGAGGAAUAUUGGUCAAUGGCCGUAAGGCUGAACCAGCCAAGUCGCGUGAAGGAAGAAGGAUCUAUGGUUUGUAAACUUCUUUUAUAGGGGAAUAAAGGGAGCCACGUGUGGAUAUUUGCAUGUACCCUAUGAAUAAGCAUCGGCUAACUCCGUGCCAGCAGCCGCGGUAAUUCGGAGGAUGCGUGGGUUAUCCGGAUUGAUUGGGUUUAAAGGGUGCGUUGGUUGUUUUUUAAGUCAGCGGGGAAAGUUUGUGGCUCAACCCUAAAAUUGCCGUUGAAACUGGCAUACUUGAGUGUGUUUGAGGUAGGCGGAAUGCGUGGUGUAGCGGU
RNAcentral lists this ribosomal RNA (347 nucleotides) under uncultured bacterium. RNAcentral's name for it is "partial 16S ribosomal RNA". It matches the Rfam family "Bacterial small subunit ribosomal RNA", at positions 338 to 682 of the family's 1533-position model. The record is from RNAcentral.